GAUGAACGCUAGCGGGAGGCCUAACACAUGCAAGCCGAGCGGUAUUGUUUCUUCGGAAAUGAGAGAGCGGCGUACGGGUGCGUAACACGUGUGCAACCUGCCUUUAUCUGGGGGAUAGCCCUUCGAAAGGAAGAUUAAUACUCCAUAAUAUAUUGAACGGCAUCGUUUAAUAUUGAAAGCUCCGGCGGAUAGAGAUGGGCACGCGCAAGAUUAGCUAGUUGGUGAGGUAACGGCUCACCAAGGCGAUGAUCUUUAGGGGGCCUGAGAGGGUGAUCCCCCAAACUGGUACUGAGACACGGACCAGACUCCUACGGGAGGCAGCAGUGAGGAAUAUUGGUCAAUGGGUGCAAGCCUGAACCAGCCAUCCCGCGUGAAGGACGACUGCCCUAUGGGUUGUAAACUUCUUUUGUAUAGGGAUAAACCUACCCUCGUGAGGGUAGCUGAAGGUACUAUACGAAUAAGCACCGGCUAACUCCGUGCCAGCCGCCGCAGUAA
This 495-nucleotide ribosomal RNA is filed under the name uncultured bacterium. Its description in RNAcentral is "partial 16S ribosomal RNA". It matches the Rfam family "Bacterial small subunit ribosomal RNA", at positions 28 to 523 of the family's 1533-position model. The record is from RNAcentral.